Molecule: ribosomal RNA, 253 nt
Filed under: uncultured bacterium
Lineage: Bacteria
Description: partial 16S ribosomal RNA
Rfam family: Bacterial small subunit ribosomal RNA
Source: RNAcentral
UACGAAGGGGGCUAGCGUUACUCGGAAUUACUGGGCGUAAAGGGCGCGUAGGCGGCGCUCCAAGUUGGGCGUGAAAGUCCUGGGCUCAACCUGGGAACUGCGCUUAAGACUGGAGUGCUAGAGGAUGGAAGAGGGUUGUGGAAUUCCCAGUGUAGAGGUGAAAUUCGUAGAUAUUGGGAAGAACACCGGUGGCGAAGGCGGCAACCUGGUCCAUUUCUGACGCUGAGGCGCGAUAGCGUGGGGAGCAAACAGG